Molecule: long non-coding RNA, 1763 nt
Organism: Callithrix jacchus (white-tufted-ear marmoset)
Lineage: Eukaryota; Metazoa; Chordata; Mammalia; Primates; Cebidae
Source: Ensembl
CGGCCGUGGUCGGUGGGCUCGGCGGGCUCAGCGUUUGAGGGCGGCGGCGGGGGUGAGCGGAGCCGGGCCCGCAAGUCCCCGGGAGGAGACGGUGCUGGGCGAGGUCCCCUGCGUAAGGUGGGCGCUGUGACAGGCCGGCCAGUGAGGCGCCACAGGGGGAGGCCGCAACGGAGCUCCCGGACCGGCCGUGGGCUGAGACACCUCCUCGCUAAGCAGUGACCCUUCCUACCCCACCAGAACAUGCCCGGGUGACUUACUCCCAGAUCUUCCUUGUGGCCUUCCUCGCGCACUCCAGUGACAGUAUGCACCCCCACCGUGACCCGAGAGGCCUCUGGCUUCUGCUGCCAUCCUUGUCCCUGCUGCUUUUUGAGGUGGCCAGAGCUAGCCGAUUGGUGGUUAACCGCCCCUCCUGCCUCCUACACGCCGCCGCUGCCGCCCCUCCUACGUCCUUGAUGCCGCCGCCGCCGCCGCCCUCCUACAUCUGAAAAUUGUUUUCAGACACUGGACAACAGCAGCACACUUUGAUUUGCUGAGAAACAGGAAACUUAAAGGGGAAGUCCCAUGAUUUCCUUGUUCUUUGGUGGGGACAAUUUCUCACCAGCUGCACUGCGGGCUAAAGUCCACUCAGAGCAGGGCAGCCCACUGAUCUGAGAAGGCAGAGAUCAGAGUUCAGGGCUGCUGAAGCAACUGCAACCUGCAGGGUAGGGCAUCAGUGAGGACACAGCUGUGCAGAGGGGCAGCUCCCAAAGUCCACGUGGGGUCCCAUUUGCAUACUUAUCAAGGACUGAACUCUACCCGCACAAAAAAAGACUAAUAGAUUUAACAGAGGGGUGGCUGCUACAAAAUUAUGUUUGGACCAGAGGUACUUCAGGUGGAGGAGCAUUGGGGAAUGAAUGGGCGAUGGAGUUCCUGCCAUCCGUGGUGGGGGAACGACGUCAUGCACACCUCAUUAGCACCCAGGACUCUUCAUGAUGGUCUAACCUGGUUACAUGUCCUGGUUCCUUGGAAACCCUCACAUAAUCUAUGCUACUGUCAGAGUUAUCAAAUGGAGAUGUCCAAAAAUGACUACAUAUUAUGUAAGUUACAAUCUCAUGUGUCACUUACAGAGCUCGUGUGUCACAUCUGGGCUAGAUCAUUUCCUAGUAUGGAAGGAAGGCUCUUUGGGGACUGAUGGUGGUGAUGGUGGUGGUCUCAGCCUUGUUGUUGCUUUAUGUGUGCCUCGCAAUUGAUUUUAUUCUGGAGUACAAUAAUAUAAGUUAAUAAAAUUUGAUACUAGGUAAGAUUUAUGAUUCUCAAAAGGUUUAUUUGCAGCCUGUUCUUCUGUGUUGUCUCCAUUUCAGGUAAAUAUUCUCUUAUGCAAUUCCCUGAUGUUUCUUAAAACAGAGCUCAUGUCCUUUGCAGGAACAUGGAUGGAGUUGGAGGCCAGUGUUCUUAGCAAACCAGCUCAGGAACAGAAAACUGAAUACUGCAGGUUCUCACUUAUAGGUGGCAGCUAAAUAAUAAAACACACCAACACAAAGAGGGGAACAAGAGACACUGGGGCUUACCUGAGGGUAAAGGGUGGGAAGAGGGAGAGGAGCAGAAAAAAUAACUAUUGGGUACUAGGUGUAGUACCUGCAUGAUGAAAUAAUGCAUACAACCUGAGUUUAUAUAACACACUUCUACACAUAUUCCUGGACCUAAAAUAAAUUUUAUAAAAAUGAUGAGUGUUGGCCAAGUCAAACCAGAAUAAUCAGUGUGUAGGGUCAUGGUUAGCUUAUGGG